UUUUCCACAUUGCAGGGUAGAUGCCAUUGUAAUAGCUGUAUGGAAAUGACAUGGUAAGGGACUUGGCUAAUUUUGUUAGAACACUGUUGGGUCUGCAAAUCCACUGGCUGAAGAUUGGCAUCUGUGAUGCUGGGGAUAUCUGGAGGAGAUUAAGAGGUUGGCAUCAUCAGAGAGAGAGGUAGUGCCAGAGAUUAAACGAACAGGAGAGAGGAAGACAUGGAGAUCGUCACCAGCACCUAAACAUGCAGGAGAGAGAGACCAAUGCAAGCUCAACCGACAUAAAGAGAAGAGGAAAAAGUCCAAAAGCAAUAUGACGGGAACACUCAUUUACGUCCUUGGGAUCAAUGAAGAGGCUCCUCAUCUCUCGUAUGAAUUAAUGAGGAUCUAGACUGAAAAUAAUACCACAGUAGACAUUUUAACAAUGCAUGUG
Rhincodon typus (whale shark) is the source of this 430-nucleotide long non-coding RNA. RefSeq lists it as uncharacterized. The record is from RefSeq and is a predicted model, not a curated record. NCBI's taxonomy places the organism in Eukaryota, Metazoa, Chordata, Chondrichthyes, Orectolobiformes, Rhincodontidae. The transcript has 3 exons.